CAGAGGGUGCAAGCGUUGUUCGGAAUUAUUGGGCGUAAAGCGCGUGUAGGCGGCUUAGUAAGUUGGGUGUGAAAGCCCUCGGCUUAACCGAGGAAGUGCGCCCAAAAACUGCUUGGCUUGAGUACCGGAGAGGGUGGCGGAAUUCCCGGUGUAGAGGUGAAAUUCGUAGAUAUCGGGAGGAACACCAGCGGCGAAGGCGGCCACCUGGACGGAUACUGACGCUGAGACGCGAAAGCGUGGGGAGCAAACAGGAUUAGAUACCCUGGUAGUCCACGCUGUAAACGAUGAGCGCUAGGUGUUGCGGGUGUUGACCCCUGCAGUGCCGCAGCUAACGCAUUAAGCGCUCCGCCUGGGAAGUACGGCCGCAAGGCUA
RNAcentral lists this ribosomal RNA (373 nucleotides) under uncultured organism. RNAcentral's name for it is "bacterial SSU rRNA". It matches the Rfam family "Bacterial small subunit ribosomal RNA", at positions 526 to 896 of the family's 1533-position model. The record is from RNAcentral.